UGAUACAGGAUCGGAGCCUCAGAGAGACAUAAAAGUCUCGAUUAACCAAUUAACAGUCAUCAAAAAAAAUUAUUUUUCUCAGAUAAUCGAAGAAAAACUUCAGCGAAAGCUUCAUCAAGCAUCGAUAACACAUAACAGGGAAUGAUUGGAAGAUUUUCCCGCUCUAAUACCAUAUUUUGGUCUAUUUGAUUAAGAUCGGAAGAGUAACACAUAACAGGGAAGGAUCGGAAGAUUUUCCCGCUCUGAUACCAUGAAAACAUGGAGAUUUGGAGAAGAAAACCAGAGAAGAUGAAGAUGAACAGUGAGAAGUAGAGAGAGAGAUGAGAAGCUUCUGGAGGAAACUCGAGAAGCA
Molecule: long non-coding RNA, 352 nt
Filed under: Nicotiana benthamiana
Lineage: Eukaryota; Viridiplantae; Streptophyta; Magnoliopsida; Solanales; Solanaceae
Description: long non-coding RNA (NBEN_LNC021701)
Source: RNAcentral